RNAcentral lists this long non-coding RNA (212 nucleotides) under Lathyrus oleraceus (garden pea). Its description in RNAcentral is "Pisum sativum (pea) long non-coding RNA (PSAT_LNC019548)". The record is from RNAcentral. Lineage: Eukaryota; Viridiplantae; Streptophyta; Magnoliopsida; Fabales; Fabaceae.
GACAUCCAAGCCUCAUUUGAACUUCAGAAUGAUUGCAAGUGGACCAAAUUGGAUUACUUCAUGGGCCUGUACACGUCCAUGCAAGCUUGUACAUGAAAUGUCCAAAUUUAGCAAUUUUUCAAGUGUGCAAAUAUCAGUUCCAAUUGCUAUAAAUACAAGCCCUUGGAGCUCAAUUCAAGGACACCUGGCGCGCCAGCUUUGCCCCCCAAUUG